GUCGGUAUCGAUUAGGGGUUAAAUCACUUCGUUGUGGUCCGCUAUACCGAAGAGCCGCUGGUUCGAUUCCAGCUACCGACA
This 81-nucleotide transfer RNA is filed under the name Crepidotus variabilis. It matches the Rfam family "tRNA". Rfam says of the family: Transfer RNA (tRNA) molecules are approximately 80 nucleotides in length. Their secondary structure includes four short double-helical elements and three loops (D, anti-codon, and T loops). The record is from Rfam by way of RNAcentral. Lineage: Eukaryota; Fungi; Basidiomycota; Agaricomycetes; Agaricales; Crepidotaceae.